Long non-coding RNA from Cyprinus carpio (common carp), 1079 nucleotides. NCBI's taxonomy places the organism in Eukaryota, Metazoa, Chordata, Actinopteri, Cypriniformes, Cyprinidae. The record is from Ensembl.
GUCUUAAUUUAUGGGUUCUGUUUCUUAUCGUCAGUUUCUAGGAAGUCCAACGUUCACAAAGAAGCUCAAUGACACUGUUAAAGGAGUCAGCAAUUCAAGUGUGAUCAGUAAGUCAAGUGUGUCUGUCACAGUGUUGAAGAAGAGAGCUGGGCGAGUGUCAGAAUAAACAACAUCUGCUUCCUCUUUCUCAUCAAUCCUGCUUCGUUACAGACUCACACAGCAUCUCUGAACUGUUGGAUCUUGAGCAACAGAUAAAAUGGUUUUCGCUGUACCUCAGAGAAUCCUCCUGAUCUGCCUGCUUCAGUUUUGCACUUGUGCAGUCGGUCAGAAUGUGGACCCCAAAACUCUCAUGAAUAUUGUAAAGAACUUUGAGAAUCAGUUGGGUAACAUGGGACAAUACGCUGUCGCCUUCAGUACUGAGAAGGACAACUGUCUUAAAGGUUCUGGCUAUCCAAGCAAGGACUUACUAACUAAAGUGAAAGAAAAACUUCAGCUGAAAGAGGUUUACGUGAGCGAUGACCUCAUUGCUGCAAAUCCGAAUGGAAAAGAUCAUUCAGAGUAUCGUCUGAAAAAUUAUCUGAAGAAUAUCUUGAAGGAUGAAAAUGAGUGUGUGGGUUUUUUCACCGUAAAUUCACCCUGUUUGAAAACAUGCCUAGCAGAAUCUGGGCCAUACAGCGUUAAAGACAGUCUUGUACUGUUACAAAAAUAUGUGGGUAUUAAAGCCUUUGCAUUCAAAAAAAUUUGGACACAUGAUAAAAAGGAGGAUGUGAUAAAGAGACUGAAUGAAAUUGCACCUAAUUUGCCAUAUUAUCAGUGUGAGAAAAACAAAGCUAGAUGUGACAGACUGUAAGAAGAGUAAUGCUUGACAGUUGCUUUCCUCACAUAUAGAAAGUUUUAUUAAGCUGAGGAUUUUUUUUUUCUGUUUUGAAUGCAGUAAACAUUAAAAUUGGUAGAUAAAAUCAAUCAUAUGUAAAAAAAAAAAAUCAUAAAUUUUGAAAGAUGACAAGUACUGUUAAAGUAAAUUAAUGUUAGCAUGUCUGCUUACUGCUGGAGUGAAUAAAAAUACAUUUUAUUGAGCA